CCUACGGGUGGCAGCAGUAGGGAAUCUUCGGCAAUGGGGGGAACCCUGACCGAGCAACGCCGCGUGAGUGAAGAAGGUUUUCGGAUCGUAAAGCUCUGUUGUUAAGGAAGAACGAGUGUGAGAAUGGAAAGUUCAUGCUGUGACGGUACUUAACCAGAAAGGGACGGCUAACUACGUGCCAGCAGCCGCGGUAAUACGUAGGUCCCGAGCGUUGUCCGGAUUUAUUGGGCGUAAAGCGAGCGCAGGCGGUUAGAAAAGUCUGAAGUGAAAGGCAGUGGCUCAACCAUUGUAGGCUUUGGAAACUGUUUAACUUGAGUGCAGAAGGGGAGAGUGGAAUUCCAUGUGUAGCGGUGAAAUGCGUAGAUAUAUGGAGGAACACCGGUGGCGAAAGCGGCUCUCUGGUCUGUAACUGACGCUGAGGCUCGAAAGCGUGGGGAGCGAACAGGAUUAGAUACCCCAGUAGUC
Molecule: ribosomal RNA, 465 nt
Filed under: uncultured Streptococcus sp.
Lineage: Bacteria; Bacillati; Bacillota; Bacilli; Lactobacillales; Streptococcaceae
Description: bacterial SSU rRNA
Rfam family: Bacterial small subunit ribosomal RNA
Source: RNAcentral